UACGUAGGGGGCCAGCGUUGCUCGGAAUAACUGGGCGUAAAGGGUUCGUAGGCGGUGCGGAAAGUUGGGAGUGAAAUCUCUGGGCUUAACUCAGGGACUGCUUUCAAAACUUCCGUGCUCGAGUGCGAGAGAGGCAAGUGGAAUUGCAGGUGUAGCGGUGAAAUGCGUAGAUAUCUGCAGGAACACCCGUGGCGAAGGCGGCUUGCUGGAUCGCAACUGACGCUGAGGAACGAAAGCUAGGGGAGCAAACAGG
RNAcentral lists this ribosomal RNA (253 nucleotides) under uncultured prokaryote. RNAcentral's name for it is "partial 16S ribosomal RNA". It matches the Rfam family "Bacterial small subunit ribosomal RNA", at positions 524 to 776 of the family's 1533-position model. The record is from RNAcentral.